UACGGAGGGGGCUAGCGUUGUUCGGAAUUACUGGGCGUAAAGCGUACGUAGGCGGUUAUUCAAGUCAGAGGUGAAAGCCUGGAGCUCAACUCCAGAACGGCCUUUGAAACUAGAUCGCUAGAAUUAUGGAGAGGUAAGUGGAAUUCCGAGUGUAGAGGUGAAAUUCGUAGAUAUUCGGAAGAACACCAGUGGCGAAGGCGUCUCACUGGACAAGUAUUGACGCUGAGGUACGAAAGCGUGGGGAGCAAACAGG
Molecule: ribosomal RNA, 253 nt
Filed under: uncultured bacterium
Lineage: Bacteria
Description: partial 16S ribosomal RNA
Rfam family: Bacterial small subunit ribosomal RNA
Source: RNAcentral